Molecule: long non-coding RNA, 2089 nt
Organism: Bombyx mori (domestic silkworm)
Lineage: Eukaryota; Metazoa; Arthropoda; Insecta; Lepidoptera; Bombycidae
Exons: 2
Source: RefSeq, a predicted model, not a curated record
UGUGUCUUUAAAGCGGUUAGUUGCCCUCAAUUAAAAAAAAAAUUAUUAUUAUUCGCCAAUAGAUGUCGGGAAGAGUUGAUUAUUGAAAACACAAAUAAAACAACAUUUUCUGAAAAUAAAUCCUAGCUAGAUCGAUUUAUCGCCCCGGAAUCCCCUGUAUACUAAAUUUUAUGAAAAUCGUUGGAGCCGUUUCCGAGAUUCAGAUUAUCUUAAUAUAUAUAAAUCUCGUGUCACAAUGUUUGUCCUCAAUGGACUCCUAAACCACUUAACCGAUUAUAAUAAAAUUCGCACACCAUGUGCAGUUCGAUCCAACUUGAGAGAUAGGAUGGUUUAAAUCUCAAAUUAUAGUCGCAAUUUUAAUUUAUUGCUAAUUAUUUGUCUGUUAUUAUUUGACAGUCACAAUUAUCUGUUAACUCCAAAUGAUUCUAACAGAUGUCGAUACCUUUCGACUGGGUUGAGUAAGUAAUCAAUAGAUGGCGCUGCUAUGGUAAAUCUACGAACGUGUCAUAUAAGAUUCGAUCAAUAAUACUACUAGAUUCGCGAUUAGCGCUUCAAAAACGGCCCGAAAAAUAAGACCACAAAUAAAUUUGUGGUCUUAUUUCAAAUUAGUAUGGUCCAAUCAUAGCCAACACUAAGACGUCAAAACGCUGCAAUGCGUGUUCAAAAACUGAGUAAAAAACCACCGUAACACCAAGGUUUUGGAAGGAAUAUCUUUUUUUGAUUUCCUAGUAGCCCCUUGUCGCUGUGCACAAUGGAUAUAUAUUGUCGCGAAAGAAAGAGAAGAAAUAUAGAACCCUUAUAAAAAUUCUAGAAUUGUUCAAUGGUGGUGGCAAAUCAAUGCAAAAAAGUAUUAAAAAAACUUUAUAUGUAUGUGUAAAUAUUUUAAGCGUAUAUGCUGAAAAGGAUUUGUUUUCUGGGGGAAGCGAACACAGCCAUAAAAUAAGCCUAAAUUAAACUGAUUAUAAAAAAAUUCAUUGAUAUAAGAUUACAUUAUAUUUGUAAAAAAGAAACCGCUCAUAUAAAAAUGACUUCUAAAAGACAGCUUUAUAACAAACUGAAUCUGUUUAAAGGUAAUUAAACCUACAUUAUUGUUUUAAUUACUUCUGUAUAAAGAAUACGUGGAAAACAUGUUUCGUGUUUCCUUUCAUAUUUUUUUUACUUUAUUCAAUUUUAUUUUUUAUCACCUAUUUGUUGUAAUAGCGGCAAUGUAAAAUAUUAUCUACUACUUUUUUCAAUCGGUCAAAAAUAGUAGCGACCAUACAAAACAAACCUAAAACAAAUAUGUAUAUUCUGCAACUCUAUGUCUUUCAAUACUUACUGUGUUCUGAGCAUUGAAAUGUAAUACCAAGAACUACAUCUAGUUCCACAAUACAAUAAGCACGAAAUUUUAAACAAAUAUUUUUAACCUUAUAAAUUAGGCUUUAAGUAUCAUUUUAGAAUAAAUAUUUUUGUACUGAUGACUUUUUAUGUUCAAGUGACAUUUUAAAUUUAUUCCAUAAUAUUCUUUUUCUGACGAAAGGACCUAAAUACAUAUAUUUUGCAAUGGUAAUUAAACUUUAUGUUUAAGUAUUAAGGUUUAUAAUAAACUGAAGUCGUUAACAUUAUUAAACUUUUUUCUAAGAAAUGAAGAUGUUUUCGUGUCUGCAAACGUGGCCACUGGAGCGUCUUAUUUUUGUUCCUGAUCCUUAAUCUAGUACUAUUAUUGAUCGAAGCAUAUAAGCUACAUUUUAACAGCAUAAUUACCACGUGUUGUUGACGUUAUAAAAUUAAUUAAAUUUAUUUUGUAGUGAACGAAAUACCGUAUAAUUCAAUUAUUUCCACUUUUUAAAAUUUGGUGUUAGCAUAGCCGGCCACGUGUUACUUAGACUGAAGUGUAAAUUGCAUUCAUAUUAUAAUGAAGAUAAUACAGUGAAAUUAAUCCUGUUUUUUACUUAUUUGUGCUUCAUUGAUCAAAACUUUAUAAUUUAAUUUGAAUAUAUGUAUGUAAGUAUUAUCACAUACAUAAUUAUAAAAUUUAAUUAAAAUGUCAAUGCAAAAAUGAUACACAAUUUCCUACACUUUUUCAAUAGUUGUACAAAUAUUUUUUUAA